This 329-nucleotide ribosomal RNA is filed under the name uncultured eukaryote. Its description in RNAcentral is "partial 18S ribosomal RNA". It matches the Rfam family "Eukaryotic small subunit ribosomal RNA", at positions 1470 to 1796 of the family's 1831-position model. The record is from RNAcentral.
CCCUUAGAUGUUCUGGGCCGCACGCGCGCUACACUGAUGCAUUCAACGAGUCUAAAACCUGCUCUGAUAGGGGUGGGUAAUCUUUUGAAUGUGCAUCGUGAUUGGGAUAGAUGAUUGCAAUUUUUCCUCUUCAACGAGGAAUGCCUAGUAAACGCAAGUCAUCAGCUUGCAUUGAUUACGUCCCUGCCCUUUGUACACACCGCCCGUCGCUCCUACCGAUUGAAUGAUCCGAUGAAUAUCAUGGAUUGAGGAUGCAAGUAGGUUCGCCUAUCUUCAUCUUCGAGAAGUGAAGUAAAUCUUAUCAUUUAGAGGAAGGAGAAGUCGUAACA